Long non-coding RNA from Bos taurus (domestic cattle), 986 nucleotides. NCBI's taxonomy places the organism in Eukaryota, Metazoa, Chordata, Mammalia, Artiodactyla, Bovidae. The record is from Ensembl.
AUUCAUAGUGCUUCUACCAAGCACAUGUUUAGGUUUUGGGGAUUCAACAGGGAACCAAACGGAUAAAAAUUCUGGUCCUUUUAGAGCCGUCAUUCUAGUAGGGAAGGGAGCCGUGGUGGUUAGGACAUCUGCUCCCUUCUCAGAGCCAGAGGAAGGAGUCCUGUGAUGCCUGAAACCUGGAUUUGGGGACCUUCUGGGGCAGCAAGCAGGAUAAGCCCCACACAGCAGAGUAUUCCCAGCACAAUUGUGCCUCUCAGCUCCCCUUACUGCUGCUGCUGCUAAGUCGCUUCAGUCGUGUCCAACUCUGUGUGACCCCAUAGAUGGAAGCCCACCAGGCUCCCCUGUCCCUGGGACUCUCCAGCUGUACAGAUGUCAGACCAGCAAUCUACGCCCUUGUCGAGGUGGCCCCACACAGCUUCUCAUGGCAUCUCCGCUGCAGGGUCUCUGGACCUCAGGACCCUUCAGCCAGCUCUGCUCUCAGUUUCUGCACUACUCGGACAUUGUUCUCCCUCUGCCACUGAGGAUUUGUCUGUAUAACAGCCGAGUUUCCAGAAGUUCAUUCACUCAGGAUUGUGUAAGCACCUAAGUCCCUGAAUUAAGCCCCUUGGCAUCUACGUGGAAUACCCCGAAGAGAUUCUGCCAUUAGAAGAGUUUUCUGAACCUUGACUGGGUGCAUGGCCUGAGGACUUUGCUACUGUGAGGUUGACCCCUGCUGGGCAGCAGUGAUGGCAGAAGCCUCAAACGGGACAGCUUCAUUUUGGGAAAUGACACUAAAAGGCGAGAAUGGAGGAGCAAUGAUUUGGAAGGAACCUAAGUCCUUGAGUGAUCAUGAGGAGCAGAGAUGCCCUGCUUACCUCCACCUUUCACAGAGGCAAGAGAAAGAAACUUUCUUGUUCAUUUGGCUGUUACAUGAUUGGGUGACGGAAAGGUGUCAGCCUCUCAGCUCAAACUAGUUUGUGAUUGCUCUUCUUCAGAACAGAUGACUC